Molecule: ribosomal RNA, 253 nt
Filed under: uncultured bacterium
Lineage: Bacteria
Description: partial 16S ribosomal RNA
Rfam family: Bacterial small subunit ribosomal RNA
Source: RNAcentral
UACGUAGGGGACGAGCGUUGUCCGGAAUCAUUGGGCGUAAAGCGCGUGUAGGCGGCCCGGUAAGUCCGCUGUGAAAGUCGGGGGCUCAACCCUCGAAUGCCGGUGGAUACUGUCGGGCUAGAGUGCGGAAGAGGCGAGUGGAAUUCCUGGUGUAGCGGUGAAAUGCGCAGAUAUCAGGAGGAACACCAAUUGCGAAGGCAGCUCGCUGGGACGUGACUGACGCUGAGACGCGAAAGCGUGGGGAGCAAACAGG